AGUUCGGAUUGCAGGCUGCAACCCGCCUGCAUGAAGUUGGAAUCGCUAGUAAUCGCGGAUCAGCAUGCCGCGGUGAAUACGUUCCCGGGCCUUGUACACACCGCCCGUCACACCAUGAGAGUCGGGAACACCCGAAGUCCGUAGCCUAACCGCAAGGGGGGCGCGGCCGAAGGUGGGUUCGAUAAUUGGGGUGAAGUCGUAACAAGGUAGC
This 211-nucleotide ribosomal RNA is filed under the name uncultured bacterium. Its description in RNAcentral is "partial 16S ribosomal RNA". It matches the Rfam family "Bacterial small subunit ribosomal RNA", at positions 1290 to 1500 of the family's 1533-position model. The record is from RNAcentral.